Molecule: non-coding RNA, 148 nt
Filed under: Gorilla gorilla gorilla (western lowland gorilla)
Lineage: Eukaryota; Metazoa; Chordata; Mammalia; Primates; Hominidae
Source: Rfam by way of RNAcentral
GCCAGGUGUGGUGGUGCACGCCUGUAGUCCCAGCUACUCAGGAGGCUGAGGCAGGAGAAUCGCUUGAACCUGGGAGGUGGAGUUUGCAGUGAGCCAAGAUUGCACCACUGCACUCCAGCCUGGGCAACAGAGCGAGACUCUGUCUCAA